RNAcentral lists this ribosomal RNA (792 nucleotides) under uncultured bacterium. Its description in RNAcentral is "bacterial SSU rRNA". It matches the Rfam family "Bacterial small subunit ribosomal RNA", at positions 8 to 796 of the family's 1533-position model. The record is from RNAcentral.
AGAGUUUGAUCCUGGCUCAGAUUGAACGCUGGCGGCAUGCGUAACACAUGCAAGUCGAACGGUGGUAGGUGCUUGCAUCUACCAUAGUGGCGGACGGGUGAGUAGAGCGUAGGAAUCUGUCUUGAAGAGGGGGGAUAGCCUGGGGAAACUUGGGGUAAAACCGCAUAGACUCGAGAGAGGAAAACAGGGGACCGAAAGGCCUUGUGCUUUAAGAGGAGCCUACGUCAGAUUAGCUAGUUGGUGGGGUAAAGGCCUACCAAGGCGAUGAUCUGUAGCUGGUCUGAGAGGACGAACAGCCACACUGGGACUGAGACACGGCCCAGACUCCUACGGGAGGCAGCAGUGGGGAAUAUUGGACAAUGGGGGGAACCCUGAUCCAGCGAUGCCGCGUGUGUGAAGAAGGCCUGCGGGUUGUAAAGCACUUUCAGUUGGGAAGAGGAAGGUAAUUUGAAUAAAGUUACUGGAAGACGUUACUAACAGAAGAAGCACCGGCUAACUCUGUGCCAGCAGCCGCGGUAAUACAGAGGGUGCGAGCGUUAAUCGGAGUGACUGGGCGUAAAGGGCGCGUAGGCGGUUUAUUUAGUCUGAUGUGAAAUAACUAGGCUUAACCUGGUAUGUGCAUUGGAAACGGAUAGGCUAGAGUAUUGGAGAGGGAAGUGGAAUUUCCGGUGUAGCGGUGAAAUGCGUAGAGAUCGGAAAGAACACUCGAGGCGAAGGCGACUUCCUGGCCAAAGACUGACGCUGAGGCGCGAAGGCGUGGGUAGCAAACAGGAUUAGAUACCCUAGUAGUCC